UCGGGAAUUUUGGGCAAUGGGCGAAAGCCUGACCCAGCAACGCCGCGUGAAGGAUGAAGUAUUUCGGUAUGUAAACUUCGUAAGAAUAGGAAGAAUAAAUGACGGUACUAUUUGUAAGGUCCGGCUAACUACGUGCCAGCAGCCGCGGUAAUACGUAGGGACCAAGCGUUGUUCGGAUUUACUGGGCGUAAAGGGCGCGUAGGCGGUGUGUCAAGUCAGUUGUGAAAUCUCCGAGCUUAACUCGGAACGGUCAACUGAUACUGUCACACUAGAGUACAGAAGGGGCAAUCGGAAUUCUUGGUGUAGCGGUGAAAUGCGUAGAUAUCAAGAGGAACACCUGAGGCGAAGGCGGGUUGCUGGGCUGAUACUGACGCUGAGGCGCGAAAGCUAGGGUAGCAAACGGGAUUAGAUACCCGGGUAGUCCCUGAGCGGGCUGGCAAGGCGCAU
This 447-nucleotide ribosomal RNA is filed under the name uncultured bacterium. RNAcentral's name for it is "bacterial SSU rRNA". It matches the Rfam family "Bacterial small subunit ribosomal RNA", at positions 355 to 825 of the family's 1533-position model. The record is from RNAcentral.